RNAcentral lists this ribosomal RNA (789 nucleotides) under uncultured bacterium. Its description in RNAcentral is "bacterial SSU rRNA". It matches the Rfam family "Bacterial small subunit ribosomal RNA", at positions 113 to 904 of the family's 1533-position model. The record is from RNAcentral.
ACACGUAUGCAACCUACCUUUUACAGGAGUAUAGCUCCCCGAAAGGGGAAUUAACCCUCCAUAAUAUCAUUGGAUGGCAUCAUUUGAUGAUUAAAACUGAGGUGGUAAAAGAUGGGCAUGCGUCUGAUUAGUUAGUUGGCAGUGUAACGGACUACCAAGACGAUGAUCAGUAGGGGACCUGAGAGGGUGAUCCCCCACACUGGCACUGAGAUACGGGCCAGACUCCUACGGGAGGCAGCAGUAGGGAAUAUUGGACAAUGGGUGAGAGCCUGAUCCAGCCAUGCCGCGUGCAGGAAGAAGGCGUUAUGCGUUGUAAACUGCUUUUGCCAGGGGAUAAAACGGUUCUGCGGAACUAAUUGAAGGUACCUGGUGAAUAAGCCACGGCUAACUACGUGCCAGCAGCCGCGGUAAUACGUAGGUGGCAAGCGUUGUCCGGAUUUAUUGGGUUUAAAGGGUGCGUAGGCGGCCCUGUAAGUCAGUGCUGAAAUAUCCCGGCUUAACCGGGAGGGUGGCAUUGAUACUGCAGGGCUUGAGUACAGAUGAGGUAGGCGGAAUUGACGGUGUAGCGGUGAAAUGCAUAGAUAUCGUCAAGAACACCGAUAGCGAAGGCAGCUUACCAAGCUGUAACUGACGCUGAGGCACGAAAGUGUGGGGAUCAAACAGGAUUAGAUACCCUGGUAGUCCACACUGUAAACGUUGAUGACUCGAUGUUGGCGAUAUACAGCCAGCGUCCAAGAGCAAUCGUUAAGUCAUCCACCUGGGGAGUACGCCGGCAACGGUGAAACUCAA